RNAcentral lists this long non-coding RNA (1293 nucleotides) under Anser cygnoides (Swan goose). RNAcentral's name for it is "lncRNA (ENSACDG00005000503.1)". The record is from RNAcentral. Lineage: Eukaryota; Metazoa; Chordata; Aves; Anseriformes; Anatidae.
AUGGGACAUGUGCAGCCCAGCAAUGUCCUUGUAGAAAGCUGCACUGCUCUCUGGUUGAGCGAUGGAGGUCCUGGUCUGGUCACGUCCCCCCUCCAGGUCUGUCUGUUUCAUGUGUCCCUGAUGGCCAGGAGACACCCCUCCUGGGCCAGCCAUGCCACCCUCCCCGUUGUGACAUGGGCCGCCACCAAUGUUCUGCCCACUGUGACAUGGCCACCACAUCACCAGGGAGGUGCCAGGAGCUGGUGGCUGCCUGCUGUGAUAUGGCCACCACAUCACCAGGGCUGCUGUAGCACUGAGACAUGGCUGUCACCUUCCACCAUUCAGGCUGUGAUACUCUGUCAUACGUUACUCUGGAGGCUAGAAAAGUUGGCAGAAGUUCAAGGAGUGUUUUUCUGGGGCAUGGAAAUCAGCAGAGGGCUACUGAACGUGAGGGUACCGCCUCGAGCUCAGGGAGCCCCUGCAGUCACAAGCUGCUGGACCCUGAAAGACAAUUUGGGAAAGCACUGCUACAUCACUGCCUCGUCCUUAAAGCACUGCCCACUGCUGGCAACUGGGCACUACACGAGAAAACACACCACAAUAUUAUGACUGACUUUCACCUGACAUGAGAGGAGGCCAUACUUCGUGUCAGUACCUCAAUGCAUUAAAACCGCGCUUGCUGAACGGCCUGAAAGGCCACAGAAGUUUCUUCUGACCAGUGACUGAUCUGUAAGGACCACAGGAUAUCAGAGAUACUCUAAGACAACGAAAGGAAGGCAGGCUGCGGCAGCACCCCCGAUCCAGCACGUUUUAUGACGCCCAAGGCAGCAUGGUUUGUCUCAUCACCAGGCCUACGAAAUCCUCCGAACAAAAGGACAGGCUCCCUGGUUCCUAGGGAGACUGAAGGAGGACAGGGGUGACAGAAAAAAGGGAGCUCCAUAAAUCACCAGUGUGUGAAGGGUGGAAAAAAAAUCAACACUGAUCCGAAAAAAAUUUACAUUUUUCAGUUAUCGGGUUAGAAGUAGAUGUGGUAAUGCAGAACAGCAGGGAGCUCGAGACGUCACGCCGUCCGUCCUGCACCCAUCUAGGGGGCCGGGCCAGCUCCAUGCACAGCACUGCCUUCUGGCACACAUCCCUGUGUGACAACAUAAAACCUCCACGUUCUGCUCUGCAGAACUACUACUGCCUACUAUUUGACCCCCAUUUGUACAGAUGAUUUCUCCGUAUGUCCAACAGAUCGCAAUGGUACCUUCUGAUUACCUUUCUUUCUUUUCCAGACCCUUUCUCCAACUCAUCUAUUUAAUUUUGAAACCU